Molecule: ribosomal RNA, 253 nt
Filed under: uncultured bacterium
Lineage: Bacteria
Description: partial 16S ribosomal RNA
Rfam family: Bacterial small subunit ribosomal RNA
Source: RNAcentral
UACAGAGGGGGCAAGCGUUGUUCGGAAUUACUGGGCGUAAAGGGCGCGUAGGCGGCCUCUUAAGUCGAACGUGAAAUCCCCGGGCUCAACCCGGGAACUGCGUCCGAUACUGGGAGGCUUGAAUCCGGGAGAGGGAUGUGGAAUUCCUAGUGUAGUGGUGAAAUGCGUAGAUAUCGGGAGGAACACCAGUGGCGAAGGCGACUACCUGGCCUGUUCUUGACGCUGAGGCGCGAAAGCUAGGGGAGCAAACGGG